Non-coding RNA from Lepisosteus oculatus (spotted gar), 792 nucleotides. The record is from the annotation of a RefSeq genome assembly. Lineage: Eukaryota; Metazoa; Chordata; Actinopteri; Semionotiformes; Lepisosteidae.
UGAAAGUCUGUACAAAAACCUCCUUUAGGUCUACAGGAGCUGCUUGAACGCAUCAACAGAAACCACAGGGGACUGAGGCUUAGAACAGCUGUACAGCUGGUACAGUUAGAUUUGAUGGGUUUCAGUGGUAGCGGAUCUGGAACUGUCUUUACAUUCAACAUCACGGAAGUCUAAGAUGUACAUGUACAGAUGCAGCCAUUCAAAAUGGGUAACACUCAGCCCUCGCUGACGGUCCUGCCCCCCUCCAGCAGGGAGCUGUCAGAGAAGAAGUCGGCCACGCUGUUGUGUCUGGCCAACCAGGGCUUUCCGUCUGACUGGAGCCUGCAGUGGACAGUGGACGGCCACUCCAGGACCAACGGGGUCACCAAGACCCCCUACCUCCUGGACAGCACUGGCCUGUACAGCUGGAGCAGCACCCUGACACUAUCUGAAGCUGAGUGGUCCUCAGUGGGCACUGUGGUCUGUGAGGCCACCCACAGCUCCCAGGCUCCCGUGACAAAGGCCCUGAAGAAAUCCGAGUGUCCAGAAUAGCCUGGCCUGGGGGCAGCGCCUGCUUCAUUCCUAGCUUAGAGCUGCAGAUACUGAAGUUUUACUCUAGCUUUCCUGUGCUGUGAUUUAAUGGGAGGCCAUCGCCCCAACGACCUGUGCCAACCUGUGCGCCAAUGUGCUGUUUUUGUUAGAAACCUCUUUGACUUCACAUCUUCACGUCUGUGUGUGCAAAUGGCCUGUAACUGGUGUAAGUGCUGUUAGUGACCCAACAAUAAUAGUAAUAAAGAAUUUCUGAAUCAUGAA